GGCGGCUACCAUGCAGUCGAACGAUCCUUGAGAGGCUUGCCUUUUAAGGAGAGUGGCGAACGGGUGAGUAACACGUGAGCAAUCUGCCCUCGAGUGGGGAACAACCUCGCGAAAGCGGGGCUAAUACCGCAUAAUACUCUGCAGCACAUGCUGUCAGAGUCAAAGCCUUCGGGUGCUUGGGGAUGAGCUUGCGUUCUAUUAGCUUGUUGGUAGGGUAACGGCCUACCAAGGCUGCGAUGGAUAGCCGGCCUGAGAGGGUGAUCGGCCACACUGGGACUGCGACACGGCCCAGACUCCUACGGGAGGCAGCAGUGGGGAAUUUUGCGCAAUGGGCGAAAGCCUGACGCAGCGACGCCGCGUGGAGGAUGACGGCCUUCGGGUUGUAAACUCCUGUCAGAGGUGAAGAAUGCCCUUCGGGGUUUGACGGUAACCUCAGAGGAAGCCCCGGCUAACUACGUGCCAGCAGCCGCGGUAAUACGUAGGGGGCAAACGUUGCUCGGAAUUACUGGGCGUAAAG
Molecule: ribosomal RNA, 517 nt
Filed under: uncultured bacterium
Lineage: Bacteria
Description: bacterial SSU rRNA
Rfam family: Bacterial small subunit ribosomal RNA
Source: RNAcentral